RNAcentral lists this ribosomal RNA (440 nucleotides) under uncultured delta proteobacterium. RNAcentral's name for it is "bacterial SSU rRNA". It matches the Rfam family "Bacterial small subunit ribosomal RNA", at positions 79 to 496 of the family's 1533-position model. The record is from RNAcentral. Lineage: Bacteria; Deltaproteobacteria.
UUCGGCGAGUGAGUACAGUGGCGCACGGGUGAGUAACACGUGGAUAAUCUGCCCCUCAGACAGGAAUAACCCAUCGAAAGGUGGGCUAAUACCGGAUAAUGCUGAUUGGCUCCGGCCGAUCAGCCAAAGGUGGCCUCUCUAUAGAAGCUAUCGCUGUGGGAUGAGUUCGCGUACCAUUAGCUUGUUGGUGGGGUAAUGGCCUACCAAGGCAACGAUGGUUAGCUGGUCUGAGAGGACGACCAGCCACACUGGAACUGAGAUACGGUCCAGACUCCUACGGGAGGCAGCAGUGAGGAAUCUUGCGCAAUGGGGGAAACCCUGACGCAGCAACGCCGCGUGAGUGAGGAAGGUCUUCGGAUCGUAAAGCUCUGUCAGACGGGAAGAAAUGUAAAAGAGUUAAUACCUCUUUUAUUUGACGGUACCGUCAGAGGAAGCACCGG